CCUACGGGAGGCUGCAGUGGGGAAUAUUGCACAAUGGGCGCAAGCCUGAUGCAGCCAUGCCGCGUGUGUGAAGAAGGCCUUCGGGUUGUAAAGCACUUUCAGCGGGGAGGAAGGCGUUAAGGUUAAUAACCUUGUCGAUUGACGUUACCCGCAGAAGAAGCACCGGCUGACUCCGUGCCAGCAGCCGCGGUAAUACGGAGGGUGCAAGCGUUAAUCGGAAUUACUGGGCGUAAAGCGCACGCAGGCGGUCUGUCAAGUCGGAUGUGAAAUCCCCGGGCUCAACCUGGGAACUGCAUUCGAAACUGGCAGGCUAGAGUCUUGUAGAGGGGGGUAGAAUUCCAGGUGUAGCGGUGAAAUGCGUAGAGAUCGGGAGGAACACCAGUGGCGAAGGCGGCUCUCUGGCCUGUAACUGACGCUGAGGCGCGAAAGCGUGGGGAGCGAACAGGAUUAGAUACCCUUGUAGUC
Molecule: ribosomal RNA, 465 nt
Filed under: uncultured Klebsiella sp.
Lineage: Bacteria; Pseudomonadati; Pseudomonadota; Gammaproteobacteria; Enterobacterales; Enterobacteriaceae
Description: bacterial SSU rRNA
Rfam family: Bacterial small subunit ribosomal RNA
Source: RNAcentral